This is a long non-coding RNA of Conger conger (European conger), 989 nucleotides long. RefSeq lists it as uncharacterized. The transcript is spliced from 6 exons. Lineage: Eukaryota; Metazoa; Chordata; Actinopteri; Anguilliformes; Congridae. The record is from RefSeq and is a predicted model, not a curated record.
GCGACGAGUUUGAUCGGAUUUUAUUGAUAUUUUAUUCGCGUUUACAUUUUUAAACCGACCGAACCGAAGAUUUCUUUUGACCAUUGCCAUCGUCAGGACGAAAGAAUCGCCACUUAAAUCAUCUGGAUCGCCGAUCCUGUCGUCGGUCAGUCUACUUAUUAAGCUUCAGCACCUGCUGCAGUCACCAGAGCGCCAAUUAAGUCUACAGACAGAGAGCUGAGUGGUCCCACAUCAACAGUGUCCAGAGGCAGUCCUGUAUAUGUGCAUGCCUCCUCCUUGCGUGCUUCUCCUGCACCAUGUACAGCCUCCAAAAAUCAGCCCGCAGCCAUUUGUCAAGAUGUACCUUCAGUGCCAGUGAAGGCCCCCAUUCCAGUCCCAGUGGAACUUCUGCGCGUGUUCGUGGCGCUCACUGAAGCAGUAGCGCAAACCCCUGCCACACAUGAGCCAGAGACACGACUGGAUGAAGCAGUAAUACAGCCAGCAACAACUUCUCCUGCCCAGCUAAGGUAUUUUCCAAUACCAAGCACAAGGCAUGGCAAGGGAGAUGACCUGGAGUGAGUUUCAGACCACUGCCUUUUAUGAAAAGGAUAACAAAGAAAACAAAGAUCAAUUAUCUUGAUCAACUGAGAGAGGAAAAUGAAGCACACACGUGUGCACACAGACACGAGCAUGUACACACACACACAAACGCACACGCAUACACACACGCACGCACACACACACACUCGCACGCACGAACGCACAGACAUGCGCAUGUACACACACACACGCACACACACAGAUACACACAGUGCUUCCAGGCCCCCACCCCCCAACAUUGAACAUUGGAACAUUGUAAAAUGCCUUUUUUUGGGAAAGGUUUAUAUAUUCGUUCCCUUUGUUUAAGUGUAUGUUUGUGCUGUUGCCGCACAGUUUUUUUUACAUAGAUGUUGCAUACCUAGUAAUUAAAGAGUUUGUAUUGUAUAAGGGUGUCUUAAUAUGUGUGUGUA